ACACGCGGCUUUCUCGGCAGAUCGAAUUAUUCUUUCGCCUUUUACUAAAGAAUACCGUGUCGGGGAUGCAUAUUUGCGUCUUUUGAUCGAAUUUUUUGCGGCCACUCUUUAUGAGUGGCU
This 120-nucleotide small nuclear RNA is filed under the name Badhamia polycephala. Its description in RNAcentral is "Physarum polycephalum U5 spliceosomal RNA". It matches the Rfam family "U5 spliceosomal RNA". From Rfam's summary of the family: U5 RNA is a component of both types of known spliceosome. Lineage: Eukaryota; Evosea; Eumycetozoa; Physariida; Physaraceae. The record is from Rfam by way of RNAcentral.